This 492-nucleotide ribosomal RNA is filed under the name uncultured bacterium. RNAcentral describes it as "partial 16S ribosomal RNA". It matches the Rfam family "Bacterial small subunit ribosomal RNA", at positions 29 to 507 of the family's 1533-position model. The record is from RNAcentral.
AGUGAACGCUGGCGGUAGGCCUAACACAUGCAAGUCGAACGGCAGCACAGUAAGAGCUUGUUCUUACGGGUGGCGAGUGGCGGACGGGUGAGGAAUACAUCGGAAUCUACUUUUUCGUGGGGGAUAACGUAGGGAAACUUACGCUAAUACCGCAUACGACCUACGGGUGAAAGCAGGGGAUCUUCGGACCUUGCGCGAUUGAAUGAGCCGAUGUCGGAUUAGCUAGUUGGCGGGGUAAAGGCCCACCAAGGCGACGAUCCGUAGCUGGUCUGAGAGGAUGAUCAGCCACACUGGAACUGAGACACGGUCCAGACUCCUACGGGAGGCAGCAGUGGGGAAUAUUGGACAAAGGGCGCAAGCCUGAUCCAGCCAUACCGCGUGGGUGAAGAAGGCCUUCGGGUUGUAAAGCCCUUUUGUUGGGAAAGAAAAGCAGCAGGUUAAUACCCCGCUGUUCUGACGGUACCCAAAGAAUAAGCACCGGCUAACUUCGUG